This 381-nucleotide ribosomal RNA is filed under the name uncultured bacterium. Its description in RNAcentral is "bacterial SSU rRNA". It matches the Rfam family "Bacterial small subunit ribosomal RNA", at positions 29 to 416 of the family's 1533-position model. The record is from RNAcentral.
AUUGAACGCUGGCGGCAUGCCUUACACAUGCAAGUCGAGCGCGAAAGGGGGCAACCCGAGUAGAGCGGCGGACGGGUGAGUAACGCAUCGGAACGUGCCCAGUAGUGGGGGACAACCUCGAGAAAUCGAGGCUAAUACCGCAUACGACCCACGGGUGAAAGCGGGGACCGCAAGGCCUCGCGCUAUUGGAGCGGCCGAUGUCCGAUUAGCUAGUUGGCGGGGUAAGAGCCCACCAAGGCGACGAUCGUAGCUGGUCUGAGAGGACGACCAGCCACACUGGGACUGAGACACGGCCCAGACUCCUACGGGAGGCAGCAGUGGGGAAUUUUGGACAAAUGGGGGCAACCCUGAUACAGCCAUGCCGCGUGCGGGAGGAAGGCC